Molecule: small nuclear RNA, 102 nt
Filed under: Mus pahari (shrew mouse)
Lineage: Eukaryota; Metazoa; Chordata; Mammalia; Rodentia; Muridae
Source: RNAcentral
AAGAUCCCAGAAGUACACACACUAAAACUGGAACAAUAUAGAGAUCAGCACAGCCCCUGUAGAAGGAUGACAACGCAAAUUUGUUAAGUGUUCCAUAUUUAA